AUUGAACGCUGGCGGCAUGCCUUACACAUGCAAGUCGAACGGCAGCGCGGGCUUCGGCCUGGCGGCGAGUGGCGGACGGGUGAGUAAUGCAUCGGAACGUGCCCAGGAGUGGGGGAUAACGUAGCGAAAGUUACGCUAAUACCGCAUACGUACUGAGGUAGAAAGCGGGGGAUCGAAAGACCUCGCGCUCAUGGAGCGGCCGAUGUCGGAUUAGCUAGUUGGUGGGGUAAAAGCUCACUAAGGCGACGAUCGGUAGCUGGUCUGAGAGGACGAGCAGCCACCCUGGGACUGAGACACGGGCCAGGCGCCUACGGGAGGCAGCAGUGGGGAAUCUUGGACAAUGGGGGAAACCCUGAUCCAGCAAUGCCGCGUGUGGGAUGAAGGCCCUCGGGUUGUAAACCACUUUUGGCAGGAAAGAAAUCGCCUGUGCUAAUACCACGGGCGGAUGACGGUACCUGCAGAAUAAGCACCGGCUAACUACGUGCCAGCCGCCGCCGUAA
This 500-nucleotide ribosomal RNA is filed under the name uncultured bacterium. Its description in RNAcentral is "partial 16S ribosomal RNA". It matches the Rfam family "Bacterial small subunit ribosomal RNA", at positions 29 to 523 of the family's 1533-position model. The record is from RNAcentral.